AGACCCGAAACCCGGUGAUCUAGCCAUGGGCAGGUUGAAGGUUGGGUAACACUAACUGGAGGACCGAACCGACUAAUGUUGAAAAAUUAGCGGAUGACUUGUGGCUGGGGGUGAAAGGCCAAUCAAACCGGGAGAUAGCUGGUUCUCCCCGAAAGCUAUUUAGGUAGCGCCUCGUGAAUUCAUCUCCGGGGGUAGAGCACUGUUUCGGCAAGGGGGUCAUCCCGACUUACCAACCCGAUGCAAACUGCGAAUACCGGAGAAUGUUAUCACGGGAGACACACGGCGGGUGCUAACGUCCGUCGUGAAGAGGGAAACAACCCAGACCGCCAGCUAAGGUCCCAAAGUCAUGGUUAAGUGGGAAACGAUGUGGGAAGGCCCAGACAGCCAGGAUGUUGGCUUAGAAGCAGCCAUCAUUUAAAGAAAGCGUAAUAGCUCACUGGUCGAGUCGGCCUGCGCGGAAGAUGUAACGGGGCUAAACCAUGCACCGAAGCUGCGGCAGCGACACUGUGUGUUGUUGGGUAGGGGAGCGUUCUGUAAGCCUGUGAAGGUGUGCUGUGAGGCAUGCUGGAGGUAUCAGAAGUGCGAAUGCUGACAUAAGUAACGAUAAAGCGGGUGAAAAGCCCGCUCGCCGGAAGACCAAGGGUUCCUGUCCAACGUUAAUCGGGGCAGGGUGAGUCGACCCCUAAGGCGAGGCCGAAAGGCGUAGUCGAUGGGAAACAGGUUAAUAUUCCUGUACUUGGUGUUACUGCGAAGGGGGGACGGAGAAGGCUAUGUUGGCCGGGCGACGGUUGUCCCGGUUUAAGCGUGUAGGCUGGUUUUCCAGGCAAAUCCGGAAAAUCAAGGCUGAGGCGUGAUGACGAGGCACUACGGUGCUGAAGCAACAAAUGCCCUGCUUCCAGGAAAAGCCUCUAAGCAUCAGGUAACAUCAAAUCGUACCCCAAACCGACACAGGUGGUCAGGUAGAGAAUACCAAGGCGCUUGAGAGAACUCGGGUGAAGGAACUAGGCAAAAUGGUGCCGUAACUUCGGGAGAAGGCACGCUGAUAUGUAGGUGAAGUCCCUCGCGGAUGGAGCUGAAAUCAGUCGAAGAUACCAGCUGGCUGCAACUGUUUAUUAAAAACACAGCACUGUGCAAACACGAAAGUGGACGUAUACGGUGUGACGCCUGCCCGGUGCCGGAAGGUUAAUUGAUGGGGUCAGCGCAAGCGAAGCUCUUGAUCGAAGCCCCGGUAAACGGCGGCCGUAACUAUAACGGUCCUAAGGUAGCGAAAUUCCUUGUCGGGUAAGUUCCGACCUGCACGAAUGGCGUAAUGAUGGCCAGGCUGUCUCCACCCGAGACUCAGUGAAAUUGAACUCGCUGUGAAGAUGCAGUGUACCCGCGGCAAGACGGAAAGACCCCGUGAACCUUUACUAUAGCUUGACACUGAACAUUGAGCCUUGAUGUGUAGGAUAGGUGGGAGGCUUUGAAGUGUGGACGCCAGUCUGCAUGGAGCCGACCUUGAAAUACCACCCUUUAAUGUUUGAUGUUCUAACGUGGACCCGUGAUCCGGGUUGCGGACAGUGUCUGGUGGGUAGUUUGACUGGGGCGGUCUCCUCCUAAAGAGUAACGGAGGAGCACGAAGGUUGGCUAAUCCUGGUCGGACAUCAGGAGGUUAGUGCAAUGGCAUAAGCCAGCUUGACUGCGAGCGUGACGGCGCGAGCAGGUGCGAAAGCAGGUCAUAGUGAUCCGGUGGUUCUGAAUGGAAGGGCCAUCGCUCAACGGAUAAAAGGUACUCCGGGGAUAACAGGCUGAUACCGCCCAAGAGUUCAUAUCGACGGCGGUGUUUGGCACCUCGAUGUCGGCUCAUCACAUCCUGGGGCUGAAGUAGGUCCCAAGGGUAUGGCUGUUCGCCAUUUAAAGUGGUACGCGAGCUGGGUUUAGAACGUCGUGAGACAGUUCGGUCCCUAUCUGCCGUGGGCGCUGGAGAACUGAGGGGGGCUGCUCCUAGUACGAGAGGACCGGAGUGGACGCAUCACUGGUGUUCGGGUUGUCAUGCCAAUGGCACUGCCCGGUAGCUAAAUGCGGAAGAGAUAAGUGCUG
Molecule: ribosomal RNA, 2079 nt
Filed under: Escherichia coli
Lineage: Bacteria; Pseudomonadati; Pseudomonadota; Gammaproteobacteria; Enterobacterales; Enterobacteriaceae
Description: partial 23S ribosomal RNA
Rfam family: Bacterial large subunit ribosomal RNA
Source: RNAcentral